ACGAUCAGUAGCCGACCUGAGAGGGUGAUCGGCCACAUUGGAACUGAGACACGGUCCAAACUCCUACGGGAGGCAGCAGUGGGGAAUAUUGCACAAUGGGCGAAAGCCUGAUGCAGCAACGCCGCGUGAGUGAUGAAGGCCUUCGGGUCGUAAAACUCUGUCCUCAAGGAAGAUAAUGACGGUACUUGAGGAGGAAGCCCCGGCUAACUACGUGCCAGCAGCCGCGGUAAUACGUAGGGGGCUAGCGUUAUCCGGAUUUACUGGGCGUAAAGGGUGCGUAGGCGGUCUUUCAAGUCAGGAGUGAAAGGCUACGGCUCAACCGUAGUAAGCUCUUGAAACUGGGAGACUUGAGUGCAGGAGAGGAGAGUGGAAUUCCUAGUGUAGCGGUGAAAUGCGUAGAUAUUAGGAGGAACACCAGUUGCGAAGGCGGCUCUCUGGACUGUAACUGACGCUGAGGCACGAAAGCGUGGGGAGCAAACAGGAUUAGAUACCCUGGUAGUCCACGCUGUAAACGAUGAGUACUAGGUGUCGGGGGUUACCCCC
This 543-nucleotide ribosomal RNA is filed under the name Clostridioides difficile. RNAcentral describes it as "bacterial SSU rRNA". It matches the Rfam family "Bacterial small subunit ribosomal RNA", at positions 276 to 841 of the family's 1533-position model. The record is from RNAcentral. Lineage: Bacteria; Bacillati; Bacillota; Clostridia; Peptostreptococcales; Peptostreptococcaceae.